RNAcentral lists this ribosomal RNA (683 nucleotides) under Mougeotia sp. 2 AS-2014. Its description in RNAcentral is "SSU rRNA". It matches the Rfam family "Eukaryotic small subunit ribosomal RNA", at positions 591 to 1279 of the family's 1831-position model. The record is from RNAcentral. Lineage: Eukaryota; Viridiplantae; Streptophyta; Zygnematophyceae; Zygnematales; Zygnemataceae.
CCAAUAGCGUAUAUUUAAGUUGUUGCAGUUAAAAAGCUCGUAGUUGGAUUUUGGGCGUGAGUGAUCGGUCUGCCGUUUUGGUUGAACUGUUCUGCUCUUGCCUUCUUGUCGGGGACGUGUCCUGGCCUUCAUUGGCUGGGGCUCGGAGUCGGCGAUGUUACUUUGAAAAAAUUAGAGUGUUCAAAGCAGGCCUACGCUCUGAAUACAUUAGCAUGGAAUAACGCUAUAGGACUCGGGUCCUAUUGUGUUGGUUUUCAGGACCGGAGUAAUGAUUAAUAGGGACAGUUGGGGGCAUUCGUAUUUCAUUGUCAGAGGUGAAAUUCUUGGAUUUAUGAAAGACGAACUUCUGCGAAAGCAUUUGCCAAGGAUGUUUUCAUUAAUCAAGAACGAAAGUUGGGGGCUCGAAGACGAUCAGAUACCGUCCUAGUCUCAACCAUAAACGAUGCCGACUAGGGAUUGGCAAGCGUUACUUUGAUGACAUUGCCAGCACCUUAUGAGAAAUCAAAGUUUUUGGGUUCCGGGGGGAGUAUGGUCGCAAGGCUGAAACUUAAAGGAAUUGACGGAAGGGCACCACCAGGUGUGGAGCCUGCGGCUUAAUUUGACUCAACACGGGGAAACUUACCAGGUCCAGACAUAGUAAGGAUUGACAGAUUGAGAGCUCUUUCUUGAUUCUAUGGGUGGUG